This 253-nucleotide ribosomal RNA is filed under the name uncultured bacterium. RNAcentral's name for it is "partial 16S ribosomal RNA". It matches the Rfam family "Bacterial small subunit ribosomal RNA", at positions 524 to 776 of the family's 1533-position model. The record is from RNAcentral.
UACGUAGGUGGCAAGCGUUGUCCGGAAUUAUUGGGCGUAAAGCGCGCGCAGGUGGUUUCUUAAGUCUGAUGUGAAAGCCCACGGCUCAACCGUGGAGGGUCAUUGGAAACUGGGGAACUUGAGUGCAGGAGAGAAGAGUGGAAUUCCACGUGUAGCGGUGAAAUGCGUAGAGAUGUGGAGGAACACCAGUGGCGAAAGCGGCUACCUGGCCCAUUCUUGACGCUGAGGCGCGAAAGCUAGGGGAGCAAACGGG